Gorilla gorilla gorilla (western lowland gorilla) is the source of this 1918-nucleotide long non-coding RNA. RefSeq lists it as uncharacterized. The record is from RefSeq and is a predicted model, not a curated record. NCBI's taxonomy places the organism in Eukaryota, Metazoa, Chordata, Mammalia, Primates, Hominidae. The transcript is spliced from 6 exons.
AUGACAUCAUCAAGUUUCCUGAAGGCUAUAGCCGGAGCCACGAAAAAGUUCGGAAACAAAUUGCUUGGUCUUUGAGGAAUCGCCACACUGUCUUCCACAUGGAAAGGACACAAAUGGUUGAACUGAUUUACACUCCCACCAACUGUGUAUAAGUGUGCCUUUUUCUCCACAACCAGGAAGAUUGGAACUUGAUAGAGCAGAAGAUCAACUGAACGCUGGAAGACUCUCCAGUGUGAAAUGUUUAUUUCUAGGAUCUUCUGUUCAACCUUGGAGGCUUCAGAGUCCUAUGUAUAGUCUUAAACUGCUGAUCUAAAAAUGGUGCUCUGUUGCAGCAGAGUCCCACUCUUGUCACCCAGACUGAAGUGCAAUGGCAUAAUCUCGGCUCACGGCAACCUCUGCCUCCUGGGUUCAAGCGAUUCUCCUGCGUCAGCCUCCUGUGUAGCGGGGAUUACAGAUUUUGUGAAAAUAUUGGGAUCAUACCAUGUAGACAACUUUAUAUACUGCUGUACAACAUCUUUUAUGAAAAUUUCUUCAGAUCGCCAAAAAUUCUCUGAAAACAAUUUGCACUGGCUGCCUACUCUUCCAUUGACUGGAUACACCAUAAUAAAAACAUUCAUUUUUUUUCACACGUUCUGGAGGCUGGAAAGUCCAAGGUAGAUGGACCACAUCUGGUGACGGCCUUCUUGCUGAGUCAUCCCAGGGCAGAAGGCAGAAGGGCAAGAAAGCAUGAGAGCAAAAACAAGCACACUCUCGCGAUAACUAACCCACUCCGUGAUUACAACAUUAUGAAGGAGUCAUAAUUGCCUCUUAUUGGGCUCCAGCCCCCAAUAUUGUUGCAUUUUGGAUUAAGUUUUCAACGUAAGAACUUUGGGUGACACAUUUAAACCAUAGCAUCUGAGGAAGAGAGCAUUGGUUGCUUCUGAGUUUUGGCAGUUAUGAAUAAAAUUGUUAUACAUAUCGGUGUGUAGGUUUUUGUGUAGACAUGUUUUCAACUGAUUCGGGUAAAUGCCAAGGAGCACAACUGCUGAAUUAUAUGGUAAGAGUAUGCUUAGCUUUGUAAGAAACUGCCAAACUAUAUUGCAAAAUGGCUGUGUCAUUUUGCAUUCACACCAGCAACAGAUGAUACUUUCUGUUGCUCCACAUCCUCAUCAGCAUUCGGUGUUUUCAGUGUUCUGGAUUUUCACCAUUCUAAUAAGUGUGUAGUGAUAUCUCAGUUUUAAUUUAACUCCCUAAUGGCAUAUGAUGAUGAGCAUCUUUUAAUAUGCGUUUUUGGGCCAUUCAUGAAUCUUUUUUUGGUGAAGUAUCUGUUCACAGCUUCUGCCCAUUUCAUAAUUGGGUUGUUCAUUUUCUUAUUGUUGAGCUUUAAGAGUUCAUUAUAUACUUUGGAAAACAGUCCUGUAUCAGAUAUGUCUUUUGCAAAUAUUUUCUUUCAGUCUCUGACGUGUCUUCUCAUUCUCUGGAGUGUAUGUUUUUGUUUGUUUUGCCUGCUAUGUCAUAAAUCUGACAUUAUUUAAAUAUCUCCUUCCAUCCUGACUGUUUAUUUAAUGUUGACUGUGAUAAUUUUUUAAUUCAUGUUUACUUUAAGAGGCAUUUGAAAGAAGCUCCUGAUAAGUUCAGAUACUGUCUAAUAUAAUGUUAAUGCAAAAUUUUCAGUUUAAAUUAUGUAGGUGACAAGGAGUCAAAUGUAACAGAGUCACACUGUAAUGAAUGUUGGGUGGUCACAAAACGUUUAUGUAUCAGGCAGUGACUCAUUUUGGCACACCAAAGCAAAAUUCAAAUGGUUACCUCAGCAAAAUGACAAAGCACUGCAUGCCAUGGACUUUCUGGGUUGCUUAUGAAUAGCUGAAACAGGAAAUGUUAAGUACACAAAUGGUGAGAAAACACUAUAUUUCAAAUAAAGAAACAAAUGUAUUUAAUC